RNAcentral lists this ribosomal RNA (195 nucleotides) under Helicobacter pullorum. RNAcentral's name for it is "partial 23S ribosomal RNA". It matches the Rfam family "Bacterial large subunit ribosomal RNA", at positions 2721 to 2925 of the family's 2925-position model. The record is from RNAcentral. Lineage: Bacteria; Pseudomonadati; Campylobacterota; Epsilonproteobacteria; Campylobacterales; Helicobacteraceae.
UUGUCCUGCUAUGGGCAUCGCAGCGUAGCUACGUAUGGAUGUGAUAAACGCUGAAAGCAUCUAAGCGUGAAGCCAACUCCAAGAUGAACUUUCCCUGAAGGUCGCAGGAAGACUACCUGCUUGAUAGGGUAGGGGUGUAAGCAUAGUAAUAUGUUUAGCUGACUACUACUAAUAGACCGUUUGGCUUAAUAUAAA